RNAcentral lists this ribosomal RNA (1491 nucleotides) under uncultured Halomonas sp. RNAcentral's name for it is "bacterial SSU rRNA". It matches the Rfam family "Bacterial small subunit ribosomal RNA". Lineage: Bacteria; Pseudomonadati; Pseudomonadota; Gammaproteobacteria; Oceanospirillales; Halomonadaceae. The record is from RNAcentral.
GCCUAACACAUGCAAGUCGAGCGGCAGCACGGGAAGCUUGCUUCCUGGUGGCGAGCGGCGGACGGGUGAGUAAUGCAUAGGAAUCUGCCCGGUAGUGGGGGAUAACCUGGGGAAACCCAGGCUGAUACCGCAUACGUCCUACGGGAGAAAGCAGGGGCUCUUCGGACCUUGCGCUAUCGGAUGAGCCUAUGUCGGAUUAGCUGGUUGGUGAGGUAAUGGCUCACCAAGGCGACGAUCCGUAGCUGGUCUGAGAGGAUGAUCAGCCACAUCGGGACUGAGACACGGCCCGAACUCCUACGGGAGGCAGCAGUGGGGAAUAUUGGACAAUGGGCGCAAGCCUGAUCCAGCCAUGCCGCGUGUGUGAAGAAGGCCCUCGGGUUGUAAAGCACUUUCAGUGGGGAAGAACGCCUUCCGGUUAAUACCCGGGAGGAAAGACAUCACCCACAGAAGAAGCACCGGCUAACUCCGUGCCAGCAGCCGCGGUAAUACGGAGGGUGCGAGCGUUAAUCGGAAUUACUGGGCGUAAAGCGCGCGUAGGUGGCUUGAUAAGCCGGUUGUGAAAGCCCCGGGCUCAACCUGGGAACGGCAUCCGGAACUGUCAGGCUAGAGUGCAGGAGAGGAAGGUAGAAUUCCCGGUGUAGCGGUGAAAUGCGUAGAGAUCGGGAGGAAUACCAGUGGCGAAGGCGGCUUCUGGACUGACACUGACACUGAGGUGCGAAAGCGUGGGUAGCAAACAGGAUUAGAUACCCUGGUAGUCCACGCCGUAAACGAUGUCGACUAGCCGUUGGGUCCUUCGCGGACUUUGUGGCGCAGUUAACGCGAUAAGUCGACCGCCUGGGGAGUACGGCCGCAAGGUUAAAACUCAAAUGAAUUGACGGGGGCCCGCACAAGCGGUGGAGCAUGUGGUUUAAUUCGAUGCAACGCGAAGAACCUUACCUACCCUUGACAUCCUGCGAACCCUUCGGAGACGAAGGGGUGCCUUCGGGAACGCAGAGACAGGUGCUGCAUGGCUGUCGUCAGCUCGUGUUGUGAAAUGUUGGGUUAAGUCCCGUAACGAGCGCAACCCUUGUCCCUAUUUGCCAGCGAUUCGGUCGGGAACUCUAGGGAGACUGCCGGUGACAAACCGGAGGAAGGUGGGGACGACGUCAAGUCAUCAUGGCCCUUACGGGUAGGGCUACACACGUGCUACAAUGGUCAGUACAAAGGGUUGCGAACUUGCGAGAGUGAGCCAAUCCCAGAAAGCUGAUCUCAGUCCGGAUCGGAGUCUGCAACUCGACUCCGUGAAGUCGGAAUCGCUAGUAAUCGUGAAUCAGAAUGUCACGGUGAAUACGUUCCCGGGCCUUGUACACACCGCCCGUCACACCAUGGGAGUGGACUGCACCAGAAGUGGUUAGCCUAACCUUCGGGAGGGCGAUCACCACGGUGUGGUUCAUGACUGGGGUGAAGUCGUAACAAGGUAGCCGUAGGGGAACCUGCGGCUGGAUCACCUCC